Long non-coding RNA from Orussus abietinus, 688 nucleotides. RefSeq lists it as uncharacterized. The transcript has 2 exons. The record is from RefSeq and is a predicted model, not a curated record. NCBI's taxonomy places the organism in Eukaryota, Metazoa, Arthropoda, Insecta, Hymenoptera, Orussidae.
GGAUUGAAUACGUCCGAAAGGAGAUCUCCCGACCUCUUUACUUUCCGUUUCACAGUAAUUGCGGCUGUGAAAGUGUCAGGCUGUAGUCGAGCCUUUACUACGAAAGUAAAAUUAUUCACGGCGAGCCAUUCGAAGAAAGUACUUCGCGAAUGUCUACGAUUAUCAAUGAAUUUUCAACAAAUGGAAUUAUAAGAAGUACCAUUACCGUCUACACCAUCACCAGAAGACACGUCAAAGAGUCAUUAUAAUUGUCUAUCUAAUGAUUCCUUGGUGUUAUAAAUGGAGUUCUUUGAUCGAUGGUUGGGGGAAAAAAAGUUUGCUUUUUUAUUGGAAUCUCGGUACGCAAGACAUUUAUGACCAUGGCAACUGCUGAUUAGAAUAAUGGCACAUGGAUGAUCUGGUCACGAUCAAAAGUACAGGGUCUUCGGUUACGUGCGCUCCAACUUGGCUCGCCUUUUUUACAAUCCAUUUGAUAAUUUCGCAACGAUUUGAAUUUAUAAUAACGAAUAAAUGGAUAACUAAAUGUAAAGAAUAUAUUUAUGCUUGAAUAAUUGAGUGGGCAAUGUUCUUAAUAAUAAGCUCUGCUUUUUUUAUAUGCAAACGAAAUAGUACACGUCAACAUUCUAUUUUGUGAAAAGUCGGCUACCGUACUAAUGCUCUAAAUAAAAAACUUCAGUACAAAUCCAAG